GUGGGGAAUCUUGCGCAAUGGGCGAAAGCCUGACGCAGCAACGCCGCGUGGUGGAUGAAGGCUCUCGGGUUGUAAACCCCUUUCAGCAGGGACGAAUCAAGACGGUACCUGCAGAAGAAGCCCCGGCUAACUACGUGCCAGCAGCCGCGGUAACACGUAGGGGGCAAGCGUUGUCCGGAUUUAUUGGGCGUAAAGAGCUCGUAGGUGGCUGAGUAAGUCGGAUGUCAAAUCCCCAGGCUCAACCUGGGAUCCCAUCCGAUACUGCUCUGGCUAGAGUCCGGUAGGGGAGCGUGGAAUUCCUGGUGUAGCGGUGAAAUGCGCAGAUAUCAGGAGGAACACCAGCGGCGAAGGCGGCGCUCUGGGCCAGUACUGACACUGAGGAGCGAAAGCGUGGGUAGCAAACAGGAUUAGAUACCCGGGUAGUCC
Molecule: ribosomal RNA, 426 nt
Filed under: uncultured bacterium
Lineage: Bacteria
Description: partial 16S ribosomal RNA
Rfam family: Bacterial small subunit ribosomal RNA
Source: RNAcentral